Molecule: RNase P RNA, 330 nt
Filed under: human gut metagenome
Description: Bacterial RNase P class B
Rfam family: Bacterial RNase P class B
About the family: Ribonuclease P (RNase P) is a ubiquitous endoribonuclease, found in archaea, bacteria and eukarya as well as chloroplasts and mitochondria. Its best characterised activity is the generation of mature 5'-ends of tRNAs by cleaving the 5'-leader elements of precursor-tRNAs.
Source: RNAcentral
UUUUAGGCAAACGCUGCAUAUAAUUAUGUAGAGGAAAGUCCAUGCUCACAUAGUUCUGGAAUGACUAUACUGUUCGUGCUAGAGGAAAAAAUAACUCUAGGUAGCAUUAUUGCUAACGGCAUUGAAAUAAUCAAGACCUGAUUAAAGUAAAUAUAAAAGUGCCAAAGAGACGAGUUUACUUAGGAAUAAGUAAAGUGGAACGAGGUAAACCCCACGAGUGAGAAACCCAAAUUUGGUAGGGGAACUUUUACAAAUGAAUAAUAAAGGCGUAAAGGAAGAGAAAUCUUAGAUAGAUGUUUGCCACCUAUAUGGUACAGAACAUGGCUUAUU